Molecule: long non-coding RNA, 1228 nt
Filed under: Phasianus colchicus (ring-necked pheasant)
Lineage: Eukaryota; Metazoa; Chordata; Aves; Galliformes; Phasianidae
Description: lncRNA (ENSPCLG00000019911.1)
Source: RNAcentral
AAAUAAUGCAGCUGAAUGAAGGAUACGUUCAAGAGAAAUCUGUUUACUCUCAUUGGCAGAGAUAAUACUUCAGACAUCAAGGAAUGGAUAAGUAGGUUCCUCCAUGCGUAUACUGAGUACUGUGGACAGUCCUGGUCGCUGCAUUUUUGGAAAAAUGUAAUGGAGUUAGAAAGGUACAGAGAAGAGAUAAUUGCUUUACAGGGAGAGGUGAAAAAGACUAGGAUUCUUCCAGACGGAGAGAAAAAUAACAGGUUAUGCUUGAGGGUCUGCAAAAUCACAAGACUGAAUGAAUGCAGAAAACAAAUUUUUAUUCAACAAAUCCAAAACAGAACCAGCCAGCACUCAGUGAAUCCAUUCAAUAGUCAAAAGAGUUAAAAGAAAUAUGGCAAGAAGCAGACUUCUUACAUCUGUUGCCUCGGACAGCAGCAGUUCAAAAACAGGAUGAAAAAAAUGUAGCAGGUCUAUAACCAGGUACUAUAGCAAAGAAGAAAAAUUGCACCCUUUAAGAUCCCAGAUCUGAUAACUACAGAUUUAUACUUUCUUCAAGAUCAAGAACUUCUGAGUUUGCGCAAGUUCUUAUCAUUCUUAUUCUCUUCUUUUAUAUAGGAUUUUUAUAGGGUUUUCAAAAUCUGGCUGAGGAAAGCCACAUGUAGCUUGGUCUGGCUUUGUAGAUGAGGUUGCUUAAAGUAGGAAAUUGGAUUUGAGAACUCGUGAGGUCACCUUCAGUCUGGAAUAUCCUAUGAGCUUAUGGCUGUAGUAAGCCUAAGAAAUCAAGAGAAAUAGUAUUGAUAGCAUUCUAGUUAUUGAUAGCAUUCAGUACUUUCUUCAACAGAAAGAACACACCGUAGGAAAAAGAACAGCAGUUUGUAAGGCAGAAAAUGAUAGCUCUGCAGUUAUGUUUAACAAAUAUUUAAGUUAGUGAAACAUACUUUGCACAAGCUUAUACUCCAUACACUUCUACUAUUACAGCUAAAAGGGGUAGAGGAACGUCUGUAACUUUAUCCCACAAGAAUUUCAAGUGCCUGCCUAGGGGGAAGAUCAGCCUGGCCCACAGAACAGUUUUAUUCUUCAUUUGCAAGGAAAGUAGUUGAGAUUUCUUGCUUAACAAUAGUUCCAUUAUUAAAGCUCCAAAAUGAGAAACUUGCUUGUCCGUGGAUUCAAAGGGAAUACGAACUGAGAAGUAAGUUUGCCUUUGAAAUAAAACUUUCUUUUGCAACUUGUUUAAGCA